This is a non-coding RNA of Cricetulus griseus (Chinese hamster), 5866 nucleotides long. NCBI's taxonomy places the organism in Eukaryota, Metazoa, Chordata, Mammalia, Rodentia, Cricetidae. The record is from RefSeq and is a predicted model, not a curated record.
CCUGGAGUCCUUUCCAUCAUUUAACCUGAACAUGGAGUGCACACUCAGCCAGGUACUAUUCUCGCCUACCUGACAGUGCAGCAGGAGGAGCUCAUGCCUGCUUAUGUGCAACCUCCCCUCUACUUUUGAUCACCUUCACUUAGAGGGACAACUAAAGAACUAACAUUGGGGAUCUGAUCAGAUUUACCCACAGCUGUGUGCUCAACAACAGACACAAAAGAAGUACCUCAAUAAACCGUCUGAGACAAAUGUACAAUUAUACAGUCACCCAGUGUGUGAAUAGUUUAUAAAUUUAACAUGAGUAUCUUGAAUAAGGAAAAUAUACUUCCUACCCUCUCUCACCACCUCAGCAACUGAAUGCAAGAUUCUGCUAAAUUUCCAGAACUUUGAUAUUUCUCCACCCCUUCCUCAUAUUAUGUCAGUCACAUUUUUAAAAAUUCCCUACAUCACAAAUAUGCGGAAAUCUUUUUAAAAUUUUUCAUAGUGUGUUCUCUAAAACUGUCCCUACCUUUUUCUGCCAACACUUGCCCAAGUGACCCAGUUGCUACUUUGAAUCAAUGCUGAGUGCCGCAUGUAAGUUACAUAAACACCCUAAUAUGUUAGAGAAGUCAGAAUAAAUGGAAUGCCAUUUAUAAGGCAGCCCAUCAGAAAUAUAGUCUGUAUGCUCCCGAAUUGUCAAACCUUGGUUCUUCUUCUCCAAAAUGAACCUACAUAAGAGUGUCAGAUCAGAACUGAAACCUUCAACUCACUGUCUGGUUUCGUGGCAGCCAGCACCAAGGUGCACUCAAAAGAAAGCCUUUCGCAGACAUCACCUACAGUAAAACUCUCCAGAAAGCUGGCAAGAAAGAAAAAAGAUUAACCUAGUUGCAUAAAGAGCAGUUCUGGGUUGUGGCUGGCUGGCGCAGGUUCGCCUCACAGGAGCAGGACGCUGCCUGCAAGGCUCCCCCAGGAGUGCUCUCCUCUUGUCCCCAUGCUGAGAGUCCACCGCACUGUUUCUCAAGCUAUAUUUGGCUGAGUGGUUAUUUCACUUUCUCUUUUCCUCUACUCAUCUUAUUCUGUAUCCCCAUGCGAGGAGAAAGCAACCCAGAAAGAGCUAGCCAGUUGUUCAGGGCUCAUUACUUAAUUUCCUCUUUCUAAAUAAUUCAUAAAGACUCUCUUAGCAGCUUGCUUUUCCUGGGAGGUAGCCUCACAUCGUCUUGCUCCGCAAAGGAGUCUGCUUCUUUUUGCGAAGUAGGCAGUUCUGAGUUCUGAUCCUUCUCUUUCCUAAAUCAGGGAAAGAUGGCAGGCUUCAGAGUUUGUUACCAGACUCCAGCUGGUUCAGGACUGACCAUCAGCUCACACUUACAUCUGCCUCACUUUGUUGCUUAGGCAGAAUCUGGACCAUACUCUGUCCCAUGAGCUCAUAAUAUCUCCCAAGAAAACCGUCUCUCUGCCUAGUUAGUCACCACCCCCUAUCAUUUAACAGCAAUAGUAAAAUCACACACAUUUGUUUGAAUUAUAUAUUGUAUUUAUUUUUUCCAUUCAUUAUAUUUUAAAUCUGCUUAAAAUAUCUAGUUAUAUGUUGAAUCAUGCCAAUAACCUAGUAUAUUAAUUAGGUUUCUUUAGAGAAAUAAAAAAUAAAAUUAUACUCAUAUGACUUAAACUCACUUUUCUUCUUCCUCCCCACACCCAAGCUCUAUCUCUGUCUUUCUCUGUCUCUACAUCUACUCCAUACCUAUCUACCUGACUGCCAUCUACUCUCUAUUAUCUGCUGUCUGAUAUUUCCUUCCAUACCCAUGAGUUCCACAUCUUGAGAUUCACAGAUUAAAAUAUUCUUAAGUGUUAUCUAUACUGCAAAUGUACAUAACUUUCCUUCUCCUUUAAUCCUAAGCAUUGCAACAGUUUGCAGCAUUAACAUUGUAUAAAGUAUUAUGAGUAAGCUUGAGGGGACUUAAAAUGUUAUGAGUGAUAUGCCUAGACCACACCCAUACUAUAACAUUGUAUAAAAGACUUUGUGGCCUUCAUUGAGUCCUGGGGACUAAUGUAAGUACUAUGCCAGGUGGCAGUUAUGUUAAUGAAUUUUCUUAGGUGUCCAUUGUGGUUCUUACAAUACAAAGUUUGCUGGGUAAACCAGCAGACUGGAGAGAAGAGCAGAGCUGCUGCUCCAAGCCAGGGGCAGUAUCCUAGCAAAAUGCCUUUUCCUGGGGGAAGGAAGAAUAAGAGUGGUCAGUUUUUGGCUAUUGAGGUUUCCCACUGUUUGACCAAGGCUCACACAUAUUCUGGAAGACUAUUGACUGUACUGACUGUCCAUCAUUUUACAAGCUGACCUCAGAUAAAACCCAGAAAUGUUCACAAUUACCUUUUCCAAACAUUUGGACUUAAUGACCACCAAAAUUGGUGCUUAAAAUUAAUCUCAAACAUACUGAAGUCAUUUGCUUAUACUAACUCAACAAGCUCCAUAAUAGCCCUUUCCUUUGGCUCUAGUCAAUCUCAUAUGUAUGAUGGUCUCCUGAAGGUGCACUUGGAAGCUCUACCCUGUCCAUCCCUUUUCCCCAACUCCUCCUCAGUUUCCACUCAUAGGUAAAUUUCCAUAGAAACUUUUUGAGAUCUGCCAGAUUAGUGUUUCUAAUCAUGUGUUCCUUUUGUAUGGAAUAAAGGAAAUACUUUUCUGGUUCUUAGAAAAAGAGUAAAUUUCAUAUUUAUCUUAUGUGAUUUUAUGACUAUCUUUCUGUAAUUUGACAGUAAAAUUCAGAAAAUGGGUCUAAUUUUACUCAGUGUGUACUGUGUGAUUCUAUCAGCAUGUCUGAUACAUAGAAAUUAAAUGAUACCUUUUUGUUAUUUUACUAGGUAAAUUAAUUUAUGAGAAGGCAGUUAAUAUUGCUUCCUUUAUUGAAUGUUUCCAGAAAAGCAUGCAACAGCUAAAAUAACCAGACUGAAAUGUGAAGAUAGUCAAAAUGUAAUAUACUAUGAAUAAUUAGACUCUUCCCAGACAACCUGCUCAUACAUUUCCAGGCAUAGUCUCAGGAUGGUGGGAACUUCAAACAUCAACCAGAGCUAAUUCUUUCAUACCAUAAACUAAAUAAUACCGUUUUGUAACUCCAGUACUGGAAAGAGAAGAGACAAAAGAUGAGGAAAGGGAGAGAUAAGGGGUAGAGGAGAGAAUGGAAGUAAGGAGUGAGAAGAAUGGUGAGACAGAUUUCUUAUAUUUGAAGUAGGUAACCCUAGAUAGCAAUGGAUCUGCAUAAUUAACUACAAGGAAAUACAUUAAGAAAUAUAUUGAAAUAAGCAAGUUUUUCACUUUUUAAGAUUGAAAAAUAUUCUUGUUUUUUCUCUCUCUAAAUAUAGUAAACUUUACAGUUGAGAACAUAUGGAUUUGUCUGCUUGAAAACUACAUAAAAGGUACCAUGCAACAUCCACUGGUCACCAAAAUGACUGGGGCUUCUGAGGAAGAAGCACACAUGUGCCUUAUUGAUGCCACUAGAAGGCACCAAACCCCAGGAACACGAAUGAACUCUUCUACACACAGGGAAAACCACUUUUCUCAUAACUAUGUAUUACCACCUAAAUGUAUAUACAGUUUUGUGUUAUGCUCAUUGAUCAGCCCAGGCACAGUCAUGGAACAAACAUAGGCAAGUGACACAGAUAUAACUGCCAUUUAAUGAACAUCCAAGAGCAUGCAUGGUUCUUUCCUCUUGUGGAUUCUUGGAGAGAUCUAGAAGUGCGUCAUUGUAUAUUUAGGUACAAAACUACUUCAUUCAUCCAUGAUCUUAUGAUCAUUCCAUUCUGGUUCCAUCUGUAUUCCCUUGAUUAUUAAAUACUGCUUUAUCUAACUAACAUGUUGCUUUUAUCCUGAAAAUGAUAUGAAAAUAUUUCACUGAAAUACAGUUUGGAUUUAUUCCAGUUUCUAAAAGACUCAAAGUACUAGGAAGUUAGUUCUUAACUCAUACUGUACAAAUCCUUUUGGCAUUAUGAUAGAGCAUGGCAUUGUCAUCUAUAAGGUUUACACCCAAGAAUAUUACAAUUAGCUUACAAAGAAAGAAAAGCGUGCACACACACACACACACACACACACACACACACACACACACACACACACACACACACACACACACACACACACACACACUCAGGCACACAUAGGAUUUCAUAACAUCCUAAGUACAUUUAUGAUUUUGCGUUGAGCAUACUCAUAGCUCUAUUAGUGUCCAUGUGAUCUAUAAGCUAUAGAUUGGUCACUUCUGGUAGAACCACUGAAACAUCAGAAAUUGACACACUAAUGUUGUGUGUGACUUAAGGUAUGGCCAUAAGAACAAGAAUCACAUGCCUCCUGUCUCCUAAGAAAAUCUUAGUUUCUUCUUCAUAAUGCAGGUUUUUCGUUGUUAGGACUCCAUUUCAUCCCUCAAACUGUCUGGAAUCAGAUGAUCAGUUGUACGGUUACCUUAGCUGCAAGUACAGCAUAUGUGCUGCGCACUGUGAACGCAUACUCUUGGAAUAAGUAAAUGCUUCCAACAGACUAGCGUUACAUUCUAAUCGAUUGCCCACUUCUCCACACACUGACAGCACAUGCGAAUAGUGUGAUGCUGAAAAGCAACAGAUGAAAAAUUUGUAUGACCUCUUAAGCCUUACAUUAGAAAUAAAAUUAUAUCUUUACUUUGGGACAAUAACAAUCAAUGUUUUACCCAUUACUGUGAUGAAUGAAACUUGCACAAAGAUUGUAUGCUGGUCCUUCAUAGAUACAUGUUCAUGUUGCUUUUAUAAAAAAAAAUGGCUUAUUUUCUCACAGGAGUCAAAAAUCCUCUCACUACAUAUUAAUACCUAGAAAGGGAAGCCCAUCUUCUCUCCUGCUUCUGUGAGGGACACCAUGGUGCACUUUCAUCAUCUGUCUCCUAUAGCUGACUAGUGAAACAAUUCACUCUGGUGGAGGAAGUCGUCCAUCUCACUAUUGCUUUUCUAGACUGCAGUUGAUUUUUAUCUUUAAAAUGUUUUAAUACUUCAUUAAAGUAUUUGUGACGAUAUGUUUCUCAUGCAACAUUUUCCUUUCAGAACAAAUCCAUAGUAUCGUAAUUCUUUGUAUGAAACUGCAACCAAGCACAGAUUCAAAUAAACAUGCCAUGCUCUUUGGAUUUGGUUCUAAUAUCUACUAAUGUAGAUGGAAAAAGAGAACCAACCAAACGUCCCCCUCCACUACUUCAAGGAAUAACCGCUGAGAAGAAGCAAUUACAGUAAAAUUGCUUACACCUUAAACCCCAGGUGCUCUGGAUGGAUGGACAAUCCCCAGCAGUGCCAACAGGAACUAAUUAGUUUUGUAUUGCCACAUACUCCUUCCUAUGAUGUUUUGCCUCAAGGACUAAAAGCAACAGAUACAAGCAAGCAUGGACUGAUUUCUGAUACUAUGAGCCAAAAUCAGCCUUUGUUCCUUGUAAGUUGUUUAUGGUAUUUUACAUAGCAAUGGAAAUAUGAGUACUGUUAAAAUGAUUAUCUAAUGCAAACUUAGUGUGUAUUUGAAAUUUCUUUUCAAGAGAUGAUCCUAUUCUGUCAUGAGUUGAUAAAUUCCUCUAGUCCAAUCACACUUGAAAGUGGUAAAUAUGCAAUCAUCAAUGCCUGAGAAAGGGUAACAUUUUUCUCUUAAAAGCACAGUGGCUUUCCAUAAUGGCUGUCCAAGUUUGCAUCCCUAACAGCAGAGGAAGUGUGUUCCCCUUACUCAACAUCCUCUCCAGGAUAACCUAUCAUUGGUGUUUUCUUAGCCAUUCUGGGAAGUUUAAGAUGGAAUCACAGAGUCCUUUGAAUUUGAAUUUUUCUGAUGACUAAGGAAGUUGACCAUUUCCUUUUUUAUAGUUAAUUUAAGUCUUUGUUUAUUUGGGGCAAGGUGGCUGCGGGACCGGCCAGG